UUGUUAUCAUAUGCUAAUUACCCAUAUCAUAUUUUAAUGACCACAUACUGUAGCCAUCGUGAUCAUAUAAACCUAAUAAAUUAUAAACAUCCGAAUGUAAAAUUUCGCACGAUAGAUAAUGACAAACAAACGACGGAAAUUACAUAAUAAAUUCACAGCGUGUGCAUUUGACUCUAUCUUAAUAUAUUUGUCAGUACAUAGAUAACCCGAAUAAUCCAGUCUUUAUAUUACGAUCACUUCGAUCACUCCAUGAACCAUUUCCUCGAGAAAAGUAGUGGAUAGGGGGCGCUGAAUUAUUCGAGUUAGUACAUGGAGGAAAGGUCUGUUUCAAAUGUUAUUCAAAGAUUAGGAGCGACGAUUCAAUGUCCGUUUGUGUAUUGUAUUUGUCGUGGUUGAAACGGCACCAGGAACAUAUCAGGAUAGACAACAGAAGUUUGUAAGUAUUUAUUUUAUGUAUUUAUAUAUUAACAUAGAUAUUAUAAGCCUUUCAUGCCUUCUGUUGACAAAUUUUCAUAACUAUGCACUGUUUUAGUAGACCACAGAUGUCCUUUUCGAACUAAAAGAACCUCCCUGAAAAAAACACACCUCAGUCGAAUCUUUCUUCUCAAAUGAAUGCCCGAAUGGUCAUCAAAUUAAUACUUGUUAUGGGCAGGCAUUUUCGAAUAAUUUUUAAAAAAAAUGUAUUAAUUCUGACUGCAAGGAAUUUUAAAUGGUAAAUAAUAUACAUUGUAUCUCGAGGGAAAUGUACACACUUUAACAACAGUAAAUUUUUCAUAAAUAUUAUAUAAAAUAGUAAAAGUGUAGCAUAUAUAUCAUGUGUAUUAACGAUUAAACUCUGGAAGAAAUAUAGUCCAGCAUGAAUACAAAUUAAAGGGUCCUUUCAGGAAAAAAAAUUCUCAGAAAGGUAUCUCUUUCUUCAGAGGUUUAUAUGAAACGUUGAUGUCUGUUGUGCAGUGAUUUUUUUUUUUUUCUGUAUGCGAGACAUCAUUAUAUUGCAACCAAAAACGAUGUGUUGAUGUCUGUUGUGCAGUGAUUUGGGUUUUUUUUUCGCCUGCGUAUGCAUGGCAUGGUAGGUAUUGCAACCAAAGCAAGCACGGCGGCGGCGACGAUGGUGUACACUAUUUGUUUGAAGCAUUAUAUUUUAUAAGUUAGACAAUCUAAAUGCUUCAUACCUUAUGUUACGAAAUUUCCGUCUGUCAUAUGUCAUUGUCCCGGCAACCUCAUUUUCAUGGUUCAGUAACUGCUUGAUACAUUUUGUUUUGUUAAAUGAAAAACUCACUUAUUAUGAGUAAUAUGAUAACUUUGUUUGGUAUAUGGGUUCCUAGCAACAUUUACAUGUUCGUCAGCUAGGUACAUGUAGGGUUAACCUGACCUCGACCUUAUUCCAUGGAUCAGUUAUCAAAAAUAAAGUAACUUAAGCAAGACCGUAUCUAGAUACUAUAACUAGUAAGUCAUCUAUAUUUGGUGUAUGGAUUAUUGAAAUGAUUGUAAGGUGUACAUAUCCACCCGACAGGUUCCGUCUGACCUUGGCCUCAAUUUCAUGGUUCAUUGGCCAAUGUAUAGUGUUUGUGGUUUGGUCUAUUUCUCAGAUACUUUAAGCAGUAGGACCACUAUAUAGGGUGUAUCAUGUAUGGAAUCAUUGUCAGCUGGAAAUGUCCGUCUGACAGGUCUCAAUUGACUUCGACUUCAUUUUUAUGGUUCAUUGGACAAUUUUUAGUUGUGUCAUACAUUGUAGUUGUGCAUUGAUAAAGUUAAGUAUACCUGAUAAUUGUACUAAAGACUUUCAAUAUGAUUUCAAUGAUAAGUAAGACAAAGGCGAGACAUUUGCACUCAUAUUUUGGUAAUAAAAUGUGUAAAGUGUUGACUAAAGUACAUGUACCUAAAUUUCAAUAUAUUUUUGUAUCAGAGUGCUGAACGCGCAUCUUUAACGUUUUGAGAGGAAAAUGAAUAUUUUGUUGAAGGGAGAAUGUGUUGGGUACAUUACUCACAUUUUUACCUGAGGAAGCUGCUGUUCCUUUUGGAACAUGUCUUACUUGUUUUCUGGUAUGUUAAAUGGGAUAGGUAAAAGUAUUGUUAACACCAGUCCUGUGUUUUGUUUAAGACUUAAUGAAACCUGAUUUUAAUUGUUAUUUGUGUAUUCAGUUCGCUGUCUCCUAGGCAUGAACCACUCAUCUGUUUUAAGACUCUAUGAUUGAUUGAUUGAUCAUGACUGGCUGAAUGUCCAAUGGCAAAUAUUACAUGCAUAUUCAGGAAGUUGGGAAUGAUACAUGCCAAUCCUGAUAAAAAUAAAGAAAUAUGCCUGAAGAAAAACAAUAACAGAGUAAGUGUUCCUGCAUUUUAAACUUCAAAUAUUUCUUGUAGAGUGAGAAAACUGUUAUGAAACACCAGCAAAAAAGACUAGAUUGUUAUUCAGUCCUGACUUAUUCAGUGUCUCUGAAGAUGAAGAUUAGGUAUGUAAUAAUGAGGUUUUAAUUUGAUAGAUUGUUGACUUUUAAAUUGUAAAAGUUUAAUGAGUUACUGUAAGUUAAUCCAUUUAUUGUAUAAAUUAAAAUUCAAUAAUUACUGUUCAAGUGCAUAGCAUAGCCAUCUUUAUCUUGCUGUAUCCAGAGGCAAUAGAUAUAAGAAGAUGUGGUAUAGGUGCCAAUGAGACAACUCUCCAUCCAAGUCACAAUUUAUAAGAGUAAAUCAUUAUAGGUCAAAGUACGGACUUCAACACAGAGGAAGACUAUUAUUAAUUACAAUAAAGAGAGUGAAUAAUAUUAUAUAAGCAAAAUGGACAUCAUAAGUAAGAUUAAAAGAAAGACAGACAAUUUCUUUAUCAAAGAUUAUAAAUUUUGGUAUGGUUACUAAAAAUAUUUGAAAUUGUUUUGAAUUUGUCGUUAUUUCUUUCAGAUCAGGCCUAUCCAGAAGCAAGAAAAAAGACAAUUUUUAGCACGUGCAUCUACAGAGAGAGACAUGUUUUAAAAAACAGAUAUAUUUUCAAUUUAAGAAAAACCUGUUGAACUUUUACUAUUUCUUAUCUGUUUAUUUUACAUUUAUAUAUUGAUAUUUUGUUUUUUUUUAAAUUGCUGCACAGUAUUUCUAUUCAGUCCCACAUAACAAAAUCAGCUGAAGAAAUUGAUGUUUUCAUAUUUCAAGGGAGUGUCCUUUUGCAUUGUUGAUAGCAGAUAUAUGCAUUGUCUUAAGUUGGGUUUAUAAACAGUCACAUCGCAACUUCAAAUAAAAUACAUUUUUAUGAAUCUUACAUGUAAAUAGACAUGAAAGAUAGAAAAUUAUAUAGGAACACAUUUUUUUCUGACCUAAAUGUAUUUUCAAGGUAAAAUUAUGUGAACAUAUCAAAUAUUAUCAAAAACACCGCUGGUUUAAAAUAAAAUUAUUCUAUGUAGCCUAAACAAAUCA
RNAcentral lists this long non-coding RNA (3399 nucleotides) under Mytilus galloprovincialis (Mediterranean mussel). The record is from RNAcentral. Lineage: Eukaryota; Metazoa; Mollusca; Bivalvia; Mytilida; Mytilidae.